GUUUAUUUUGUAUUACAUUAUUAUUUAUGCAUAGUAAAUAACUUCUUACUCCAGCAACAAAGGGUAUGUAACAGCUACAUUUAUAGUGCAAUCUAUAUAAUCCCAGUGAAUCUGAACACCUUUUAUGUACAAGCUCUACGCAGAUCAUAAGUUGUUACUGCACAUUUUCAUGUUUAUUUUUUGUUGUAAAUGUAUUAUUACAGUGUGAUUUUUUUGCUACUAUGAAAUGUACUGAGAUAUUUCUGAACAAACAGCAUAUACACAAAUUAUGACUUGUUAUGAGUAUUCGGAAAAGACUGGAAUUCAUGUUGGUGCAAUCUGUGUGUUGGGGGGACGGGGACUAAAUAUGAUUAAAUGGAUGCACUGUAUGAUGAUAACACUGCACUGUUAAUAUAUGACAUUAAGUGCUUCUCGAGUUACCAGUAUUCACUGAUAAAUAUUUUAUGUGCUGGAAGUUCAAGUACUCGUCAGUUACGCCUCUUUAGAAUUUUGAUGAGCCAUGGUCUAGAUGUCUCCCUGGCAGCAAAGCUUUAGAGUGGAUCUGUCACAUUUUCUGAAGCAAAUAUAGUUUUUAUUUCCUUU
Long non-coding RNA from Nanorana parkeri, 582 nucleotides. RefSeq lists it as uncharacterized. Lineage: Eukaryota; Metazoa; Chordata; Amphibia; Anura; Dicroglossidae. The record is from RefSeq and is a predicted model, not a curated record. The transcript is spliced from 2 exons.